This 98-nucleotide microRNA precursor is filed under the name Prunus dulcis (almond). RNAcentral describes it as "sRNA ncRNA". The record is from RNAcentral. Lineage: Eukaryota; Viridiplantae; Streptophyta; Magnoliopsida; Rosales; Rosaceae.
GAGAGAGGAUGAGAGGGAGGAGUAACAAAAGUGAAAACAAUUUGAAAUAGAAUUCAGUUUUUGUUUUCACUUUUGUUACUUCUCCCUCUCAUCCUAUC